Molecule: ribosomal RNA, 254 nt
Filed under: uncultured bacterium
Lineage: Bacteria
Description: partial 16S ribosomal RNA
Rfam family: Bacterial small subunit ribosomal RNA
Source: RNAcentral
CACAGAGGGAAGCCAGGUGGCGACACCGCGCGGAACCCGAAAGCCGUUCUCAGUUCGGAUCGGAGUCUGCAACCCGACUCCGUGAAGCUGGAUUCGCUAGUAAUCGCGCAUCAGCCAUGGCGCGGUGAAUACGUUCCCGGGCCUUGUACACACCGCCCGUCAAGCCAUGGGAGCCGGGGGUGCUUGAAGUGCGUCGCCGCAAGGCGCGCCCUAGAGCAAAACCGGUGACUGGGGCUAAGUCGUAACAAGGUACC